Molecule: ribosomal RNA, 486 nt
Filed under: uncultured bacterium
Lineage: Bacteria
Description: partial 16S ribosomal RNA
Rfam family: Bacterial small subunit ribosomal RNA
Source: RNAcentral
GAUGAACGCUGGCGGCGUGCCUAAUACAUGCAAGUCGAACGCUGGAAAUCUAGCUUGCUAGAUUGAAGGAGUGGCGAACGGGUGAGUAAUACAUAAGCAACCUACCCACGAAGACUGGGAUAAUCUCUGGAAACGGGGACUAAUACCGGAUAGGUAAUCGGAAGGCAUCUUCUGAUUAUUAAAGGUUAAAAACACUGGUGGAUGGGCUUAUGGCGCAUUAGUUAGUUGGUGAGGUAACGGCCCACCAAGACGAUGAUGCGUAGCCGGCCUGAGAGGGUGAACGGCCACAUGGGGACUGAGACACGGCCCAGACUCCUACGGGAGGCAGCAGUAGGGAAUUGUCGGCAAUGGGGGAAACCCUGACCGAGCAACGCCGCGUGAGUGAUGACGGCCUUCGGGUUGUAAAGCUCUGUUGUAAGGGAAGAACGGUAGAUAGAGAAUAUCUAAAUGACGGUACCUUACCAGAGAGCCACGGCUAACUACGUG